Quercus robur (English oak) is the source of this 6555-nucleotide RNA transcript. It is a transcript of the gene named putative disease resistance protein RGA4, with no coding region annotated. The transcript is spliced from 11 exons. The record is from RefSeq and is a predicted model, not a curated record. NCBI's taxonomy places the organism in Eukaryota, Viridiplantae, Streptophyta, Magnoliopsida, Fagales, Fagaceae.
UUUUCCUUUCUAUUUAUUUUAUCUCACCUCUGUCUCACCUCUCUCUCAACUCUCAACUCUCACCUCUCUGCAAUUACCAAAAAAAACUCUCACCUCUCUGCCUCACCGCCGCCGGCCCACCCGAAGCUCAACGUCACCGGCCCUCGCCCUUGACCCACUCCGUCGAACCAAGCCGCUGACCCACUCCAUCGACCCACGCCGUAGACCCAUCUUGAAGUCUCUGCUCUGACCUUGCCGUCACAGACCCACGACAAAGAGCUCCUUCUACUUGCAGCUGCUAUCUCUCUCAUCACUUUCACUACUCCACAAACCCAUCUACUAUUCCUGAAAGAAAGAGAAACUAUGGCGGAAGGAGCUUUGUUCGAUCUUGCUGGGAAAGUCAUUAAUGUGCUGGGCUCUCUCAUUGCUGAAGAGGUCAAACUGGCCUUUGGUGUCAAAACUGAGAUUGAAAAUCUAAAGAGCACAGUCUCCACGAUCCAAGCUGUGCUUCUGGAUGCAGAAAAGCGGAGUUCUCAUAGCCAUCAGAUCAAAGACUGGCUCAGUAAGCUCAAAGAUGUCCUCCAUGAUGCUGAUGACUUGCUGGAUGAUUUCUCCACCCAAGUUUUGCGCCAAAAAGUGAUGUCUGGAAACAGAAUGAAAAAGGAGGUACGCAUUUUCUUUUCAAGUUCAAACCAGCUUGCUUUUAGUCUUAAAAUGGGUCAUGAAAUAAAAGCAAUUAGUGAGAGACUAAAUGCCAUUGAAAAAGAGAAGAAGGCUUAUGACUUUAGUCAAAGCUUGGUUGAGCCACAAGUCAUGAAUAGGGGCAGAGAAACUUAUUCUUUUGUACUCAAAGAUGAAGUUAUUGGGAGAGAGCAUGAUAAGGAAGAGAUUAUGAAACGUCUUUUUGAUGACAGUGUUAAAGAGAAUAUUUCUAUCAUUCCAAUUGUUGGUAUCGGAGGAUUGGGCAAGACAACACUAGCUCAACUGGUAUACAAUGAUGAAGAUGUUCAAACAAAGUUUAAGAUAAAACUUUGGGUUUGUAUCUCUGAUAUCUUUGAUGUACAGCGGAUUGUUAAAGAAAUUGUGGAACAGUUGACAGAGGAGAAGCAAGAAGGAAGCCUUGAGAUCUUGCAAAAUAAGCUUCGAGAAGAACUUAAUGGAAAAAAUUACUUGAUUAUCUUGGACGAUUUGUGGAAUGAGGACAAUAAUAAAUGGCUUCUCUUGAGAAAUUUGUUAAUGGGUGGGGCAAUAGGAAGUAGGAUAGUGGUAACUACUUGCUCUUCGAAGGUAGCAGAGAUUACUGGCACAACUUCACCUCAUGAACUUAAAGGCUUAGCUCCAGAAAAGGCUUGGUCAUUAUUUGUUAAAAUGGCAUUUAAAGAAGGUAAAGAGCCGGAAAACUUAGUAGCCCUAGGAAAACAGAUUGUGGAAAAGUGUAUUGGGGUGCCUCUCGCUAUAAGAACAAUAGGAAGCUUAUUGUAUGGUAAAACCAUUGAAAUUGAGUGGCAAUCUUUUUUAGAAGAUGAACUCUCAAAAGUAAGCCAACAAGAAAAUAACAUUUCAUUAACUCUUAAGUUGAGUUAUGAUCACCUUCCGUCACACUUGAAGCAAUGUUUUGGUUAUUGUAGAUUGUUUCCAAAAGAUUAUAGGAUUGAUGUAAAUACACUCAUUAAUCUUUGGAUAGCGCAAGGCUUUAUUGUGUUAGAAGGUCCAAGACAACGUUUUGUGGAUAUUGGAAGAAAAUAUUUUAUGGAAUUACUUUGGAGAUCGUUUUUUCAAGAUGUAGAAAAUGAUUAUUUGGGCAGUAUAGAAUCAUGUAAGAUGCAUGAUCUCAUGCAUGAUCUUGCAAUUCUUGUGUCUGGAACGGAAAGUGCCAUAUUAAAUUCAAGUGGGGAAAAUGUGAUUGAAAAAGUUCAUCAUGUAUCAUUUGAUCUAGUGGAUUCAUCGAGUCAAUUUUCAAUCCCCGUGGCUAAUAAAAGGAAGAUACGAACAAUUCUUGCAGCUAGUGUAGGGGGAAAGUUGGGUAACUUAACUUGUGAUGCAUUUAUUUCAAAUCUCAAUUAUUUACGCACAUUAGAUUUGAGUUGUUUUGGGCUACAUGUAGUGCCCCAUUCAAUUGGGGAAUUGAGUCAUUUAAGAUAUCUUGAUCUUUCUGAAAAUGAACAUAUUGCGGUUCUCCCUAAUUCCAUUACCAAGCUGCUAAAUUUACGGACGCUGAAACUCUAUUCUUGUGGUUCACUUAAAGAGUUACCGCGGGGCCUUAAGAAGUUGGUCAAUCUUAGGCAUUUAGACGUUAGUAGGUGCUACGAAUUGACGCAUAUGCCCCUUGGACUUGGGCAUCUUACUUCUCUUGAGAUACUAACGAGGUUCGUCGUGAGGCAAGGGGGUUCCAAGGCCUGCUCGUAUGGUUGGUAUAAGAAAAAACAGGCUGAGUCUGGUGGUGGGCUAAGUGAAUUGAAGGAGCUGAGCAAUUUGGGAGGAAGUCUAGAGAUUUGCAAUUUGGGACAUGGAGAAGAUGACAUGGUGGAAUGUAAAGCCACAAAUAUGAAGCAGAAACAACAUCUUCAACAGCUGCGAUUAGAUUGGAGUUAUGAUGAUGGAGAAACUGAAUGUUAUGAUGACAUGUCACUGGAAGGGCUCCAGCCACAUCCAAAUCUUAAAGCGUUGGAAUUGUUUUAUUAUAGGGGUGUGAGAAUUCCAAGUUGGGUCUCUUCUCUCACUAAUCUUGUUCAUUUUAAAUUACAUUGGAAUAGGAGAUUGCAGCACCUCCCACCGUUAAAUCAACUCCCUUUUCUCAAGUAUGUCUCUCUUAGGGGAAUGGGAGCAGUUGAAUACAUUUCAGAUGAAGACAGUGUUAGUAACGUGUUGGGUGCUUCCUCUUCUUCUUCUUCUUCUUCUUCAAAAACACCAUUCUUCCCAUCCUUAUCUUCUCUAUAUAUAAGGAGAUGCCCAAAACUGAAGGGAUGGUGGAGGAAUUCAGAUGAUGAUGAUGAUAAUGAGCCACACCAUCUCUUACUUCCAUCAUUUCCUCCUUCUCUUUCUACAUUACAGAUUGACAGUUGCCCUAACCUGACUUCCAUACCCCUGAUUCCCCCCUCUCUGAAAAAUCCAAUUAUUGGUGGUUGUCCCCUCUUACGGCUACACGAAGGAAACAGUGAAGAUUGUCCCAAAUAAUUCAACAAGAAAAAACAAUUUAUUCAGAAUCUGAUUUAGAAUUAGAGUCGGUUUGUUCACUUCCAGAGGGGGAAUUAGCUUGUUUUGCAGGAUCAAGGAAUUGACUCCAAUCGCUUCGUCUCUUGUUAUUAUGAACGCGAUCGUCGUGGACAAUAUCCUCUUCUUCUUCUUCUUCUUGGAAUUGUGGAAGUGGAAGUGGGGGUGGUUCGGUAAUGGCGCGGGACAUGUUGAAGGACUGGAUGAAGCUGCGGAGGUCCUUGGCGACGAAUCCCUGCGCGAACACUUUGCAAACAGACUGCAUUUGGUUGCACACCACGCACCUCCACUUGCUGAUUUUCUUCUUCUUCUUCUGUUGCUGCUGCUUCACCUGAGACAAAAUCUCAACUUCCAUCAAAUCACAAUCAAAUGAGAUAGAGUCUAGCUGGUUUAUUUAGUCUAGUGUGUCUGGACAUGCACAAAUCUAAUGACUCUGUUUGAAUAUUGGGCAACAUUGCGCAUGUUCUUUUCAUUAAUCAAUGCAAAGAAGAGGAGACCAACAUGCAGGGCCCCCACACUAGUAGGGGGGAUAGUGGACGUGGAACUUAUAAGCCAUUGAGAGGUAGAACGAGUGAGGAUGGUUGAGACAUGAUUGGUAAGAGAAGCAGUUUGAUUAAAUAUCCCAAAGAUGGAGUAAUUCACUGCAAAGCAAUGCAGAGGUAAGGAGUAAUUCUAGCCUUUGAACUAUUCUUAACUUAUCAUUUUUGUGCCAAUAACCAAAACAUUAUAUAGGAAUCAAUAUGAAAAAUUUUCUUGUAGAUCAUUUAGAAUGGUGAAUUAAAUACAUUGCCACACAUUUGAUAAAUUAAUGGUUUAAUUGGCCGGUUCUAUAUGUUUUUGGGGUUUUUAAAUAUUUUAGGGUUAUUAUCUAGUACUAAUCUCACCAAGGGAGAGGUAGCUUGAUACAGCCCUACUAGUAGGACUUGCCCUGAAGUAUACUCUUUUAUGAUACUAAAGACAUGCGUUUUAUUACAAAAAUGAGCGGAAGUUGUUUCUAAUUUUUUUAUAUACUUUUUUUUUAAAGAUGUUGCUGUUUGAAUAUUUAGAGAUCCAUACCGUGUGUGCAGUUACGCAGUUUAGACUAGUUCUGUAUGUCAACCUUUUUUGUGAUCUGAAUGCUAAAAUUAAGGACCACUAAAUAAUUAAUCAAUUCAAAGGAAGGGCACUAGUGCCAUGAGAUUAACAUCUUUUUGCUGAAGAAAUAUACAUAUGAUUCUGUAGUAUACUAAUUAAGCCGCACCCUUCACAAAUUAUCAAAUGUAAUUUUGUUCCUUUUUUUCCCCUCUCUUUAUUUAUCUCUUUAAAGGCCUUUUUAAAAAAAUAUUUGUAACGAAAUUCUAACUACGUGAUUUCAUUUGUAGAAUGAAUUGCGAUACUAAACUAUAGGGCUCAAGUAUUGAUACUAUUCAUCAUAUGCAUACUAAAAUCCUUUACCAAGGCAGUGAUAUAUAUUCCAUUUCAUGACUAGAUUGCACUCUCUUCUAUUGUACUUUUAUUCUGCAUCUGAUAUCUCCAUGUCCUUUUAUUUUCUUCUUUUCUACAGAAUUGUAGCUCAUACUUAGUUGACAGGUGUUUGCAUUUCGUUUCCUUAUUAUGCAAUAUAUAGACCAAAUGAUGCCUGGCACUUCUUGACCUUGAGUUACAAUUGUUCAAGGGGGUGAAUCCUGAAUAAAAUGCUCAGGGAAUUGGCAUGGAGCUAUUAUCCAUGUUAGCUAUCCUUAAUAUUUUACUGGAAAACGGUCACUAAUUUUCACCUUGUAUGUAGUCCUUGAGAAGAUUUCACAGAAUAACUCCUUUUUUUUUUUUUUUCUCAAUUUUUUUUUCUAUAGCUUAGUGUGCAUCAAAAGCACCAGUAUGCUUUAGAGUUUAAAGUCGCAAAAUUCUAGGGAUAAUUUAACUUUAUGCUUCAUUCAAUUGGCAAGAAAGAUCAAGAACAGAAACAAUCAUGUGGAAAUUUAAUUAUUUAGCACAAAUCAUUUGGAAAUUUUGUAUUUCUAAAAUGUGUGAUGAAUACUUUGCCCAUUUUUCUUUCUCAAAUAAUGGAUCAAAAGAUUGCUGUUGCCCCAAAUAUUCUAACCAGGUCCAGAAGGAUCUCACCCCAUUAGCUGCAUAGGUUCUUAAAUCCUUCGACCUCUACCUCAUAUAUUUAUUGAACCACAUCUUGAUCAGUUGUGCUCUCUUUAAGUUGUUCUCUUUCAAGAGCACUAUUUUAUUGAAUUUCUAAAUUAUUUGUUUUUGUAUAUAAACAGAGGGGGGUGGCAUUGAAACCAAAAGGAUUUUCAAAGAUGGUUCUACAAAAAUCAAGCAUCAACUUUCAAUAGAUUGAUUUUUAACAGGUGAAUUCUUAAUUUUGUUGUUUUCUCUUUUUGUGCUGUCUGGAGCUCAUUGUUGUGUACAAGUAGGUGACUAAUCCCAUUUAAUCUUACAUUUAAAAGAAUGAGUGUGGAACACAAUCUGCAAAAGUCUUAAAAGUUAUAUAUUUGUUUUUCGGUUGUCAAUUUCAAGUGUAGGGCAAAUUCAUGCUUGCUUUGUUGAUGGCUUUUGAGACUUCCACAACAAAGGACCUCUUUGGUGCUAGGGUGGAUGGAGGUCACUGUGUCGUAUUUGAAGAAGGUGUGAAGUGUGAAGAUGAUCCAUAUAUGUGUAUUCUAGAGAAAAGGGAAAGGGAGCAUUUUUCAUAAGGGACUAGAAUUAGGGUGAUAAAGCCGCUUGGUGAAGUUGUUUGUCAUGGAAGAUAUGGCAACUAGAGCUUUGUCGACCCAUAUGCUCUUUACAAGCAAGUUUUCAGAAGCAUAUUUGCCUUAAUUUCUUAAGGUGAGCCAUUGUUUUGGGUUAAAUAUAGAGGCAAAUAGAGAUGAAAGUUACUCUAAGAAUGCAACCUGUCUCAUAACCCCUAAUUUGUGAAACUUCAGCCUACAUGUUUGUUUGUGGAUGUCAGCCAUUAUACAGCCGUGUAGUUCCCCAUUGAAGGGUUGUCAAACGGUGACUAUACAGCACUAAGCAAACAAAGUCUUGAAUCUAGCUAUCACAAUGAAUAUGUUUAAGAUCACAUAAUGAUGUGGAAUGGUCAUAUUAGUCCCUUUGGAGAAGUAUUAGUCACCUUCAACUGUUUUGUUAGAGAAAUGAGGACAAUUGAGUAGAUCUAGUUAGUCCAACCGGAAUGCUGAAAUUGCAAUUCUCAACUUGUUGAUUAAUAUUGCCAAGUAGACGGUCAAGUAUAUGUAUUUCACUUCAAAAUUUUUAAUUUGGGUGGCCAAUUUUGUGUGAGGUUUUGGUGGAUCAACUUAUUGGGUUCCUCUUGCAAUUAUAACUUGGGAGCUCUUUGUACUUGUAUGUAUACCAAUUAAUGUUUGGAGGUUUUAUUUA